GGGACCAUAGUUCAAUGGUAGAACACUAGCUUUACACGCUGGCUACGAUGGUUCAAUUCCGUCUGGUCCUA
RNAcentral lists this transfer RNA (71 nucleotides) under Spirochaetota bacterium. RNAcentral describes it as "Spirochaetes bacterium tRNA-Val". It matches the Rfam family "tRNA". From Rfam's summary of the family: Transfer RNA (tRNA) molecules are approximately 80 nucleotides in length. Their secondary structure includes four short double-helical elements and three loops (D, anti-codon, and T loops). Lineage: Bacteria; Pseudomonadati; Spirochaetota. The record is from RNAcentral.